RNAcentral lists this ribosomal RNA (1775 nucleotides) under Salmonella enterica subsp. enterica. Its description in RNAcentral is "bacterial LSU rRNA". It matches the Rfam family "Bacterial large subunit ribosomal RNA", at positions 1097 to 2812 of the family's 2925-position model. Lineage: Bacteria; Pseudomonadati; Pseudomonadota; Gammaproteobacteria; Enterobacterales; Enterobacteriaceae. The record is from RNAcentral.
GUUCUUAGCUGUGCAUGGCAGCAACACGUCGCCGAUCCUCUCUCUUCGUCGGGAGCGUCGGAUGUGUCUAAGAGCCAGGCGUAAUAGCUCACUGGUCGAGUCGGCCUGCGCGGAAGAUGUAACGGGGCUAAACCAUGCACCGAAGCUGCGGCAGCGACACUGUGUGUUGUUGGGUAGGGGAGCGUUCUGUAAGCCUGUGAAGGUGUGUCGUGAGGCAUGCUGGAGGUAUCAGAAGUGCGAAUGCUGACAUAAGUAACGAUAAAGCGGGUGAAAAGCCCGCUCGCCGGAAGACCAAGGGUUCCUGUCCAACGUUAAUCGGGGCAGGGUGAGUCGACCCCUAAGGCGAGGCCGAAAGGCGUAGUCGAUGGGAAACGGGUUAAUAUUCCCGUACUUGGUGUUACUGCGAAGGGGGGACGGAGAAGGCUAUGUUGGCCGGGCGACGGUUGUCCCGGUUUAAGCGUGUAGGUGUGUGUUCCAGGUAAAUCCGGUUCACUUUAACACUGAGGCGUGACGACGAGGCACUACGGUGCUGAAGCAACAAAUGCCCUGCUUCCAGGAAAAGCCUCUAAGCAUCAGGUAACAUCAAAUCGUACCCCAAACCGACACAGGUGGUCAGGUAGAGAAUACCAAGGCGCUUGAGAGAACUCGGGUGAAGGAACUAGGCAAAAUGGUGCCGUAACUUCGGGAGAAGGCACGCUGACACGUAGGUGAAGUGAUUUACUCAUGGAGCUGAAGUCAGUCGAAGAUACCAGCUGGCUGCAACUGUUUAUUAAAAACACAGCACUGUGCAAACACGAAAGUGGACGUAUACGGUGUGACGCCUGCCCGGUGCCGGAAGGUUAAUUGAUGGGGUCAGCGCAAGCGAAGCUCCUGAUCGAAGCCCCGGUAAACGGCGGCCGUAACUAUAACGGUCCUAAGGUAGCGAAAUUCCUUGUCGGGUAAGUUCCGACCUGCACGAAUGGCGUAAUGAUGGCCAGGCUGUCUCCACCCGAGACUCAGUGAAAUUGAACUCGCUGUGAAGAUGCAGUGUACCCGCGGCAAGACGGAAAGACCCCGUGAACCUUUACUAUAGCUUGACACUGAACAUUGAGCCUUGAUGUGUAGGAUAGGUGGGAGGCUUUGAAGUGUGGACGCCAGUCUGCAUGGAGCCGACCUUGAAAUACCACCCUUUAAUGUUUGAUGUUCUAACGUGGACCCGUUACCCGGGUUGCGGACAGUGUCUGGUGGGUAGUUUGACUGGGGCGGUCUCCUCCUAAAGAGUAACGGAGGAGCACGAAGGUUGGCUAAUCCUGGUCGGACAUCAGGAGGUUAGUGCAAUGGCAUAAGCCAGCUUGACUGCGAGCGUGACGGCGCGAGCAGGUGCGAAAGCAGGUCAUAGUGAUCCGGUGGUUCUGAAUGGAAGGGCCAUCGCUCAACGGAUAAAAGGUACUCCGGGGAUAACAGGCUGAUACCGCCCAAGAGUUCAUAUCGACGGCGGUGUUUGGCACCUCGAUGUCGGCUCAUCACAUCCUGGGGCUGAAGUAGGUCCCAAGGGUAUGGCUGUUCGCCAUUUAAAGUGGUACGCGAGCUGGGUUUAGAACGUCGUGAGACAGUUCGGUCCCUAUCUGCCGUGGGCGCUGGAGAACUGAGGGGGGCUGCUCCUAGUACGAGAGGACCGGAGUGGACGCAUCACUGGUGUUCGGGUUGUCAUGCCAAUGGCACUGCCCGGUAGCUAAAUGCGGAAGAGAUAAGUGCUGAAAGCAUCUAAGCACGAAACUUGCCCCGAGAUGAGUUCU